Molecule: ribosomal RNA, 500 nt
Filed under: uncultured bacterium
Lineage: Bacteria
Description: partial 16S ribosomal RNA
Rfam family: Bacterial small subunit ribosomal RNA
Source: RNAcentral
AUUGAACGCUGGCGGAAUGCUUUACACAUGCAAGUCGAACGGCAGCACGGACUUCGGUCUGGUGGCGAGUGGCGAACGGGUGAGUAAUGUAUCGGAACGUGCCCAGUCGUGGGGGAUAACGUAGUGAAAAUUACGCUAAUACCGCAUACGAUCUAUGGAUGAAAGCGGGGGAUCGCAAGACCUUGCGAGAUUAGAGCGGCCGAUAUCAGAUUAGGUAGUUGGUGGGGUAAAGGCCCACCAAGCCAACGAUCUGUAGCUGGUCUGAGAGGACGACCAGCCACACUGGAACUGAGACACGGUCCAGACUCCUACGGGAGGCAGCAGUGGGGAAUUUUGGACAAUGGGCGAAAGCCUGAUCCAGCCAUUCCGCGUGCAGGAUGAAGGCCCUCGGGUUGUAAACUGCUUUUGUACAGAACGAAAAGGUUUCUACUAAUACUAGGAGCUCAUGACGGUACUGUAAGAAUAAGCACCGGCUAACUACGUGCCAGCAGCCGCGGUAA